This 521-nucleotide ribosomal RNA is filed under the name uncultured Glomus. RNAcentral describes it as "SSU rRNA". It matches the Rfam family "Eukaryotic small subunit ribosomal RNA", at positions 569 to 1092 of the family's 1831-position model. The record is from RNAcentral. Lineage: Eukaryota; Fungi; Glomeromycota; Glomeromycetes; Glomerales; Glomeraceae.
AGCAGCCGCGGUAAUUCCAGCUCCAAUAGCGUAUAUUAAAGUUGUUGCAGUUAAAAAGCUCGUAGUUGAAUUUCGGGAUCAGUACGCUGGUCGUGCCUCCGGUAUGUACUGGUGUCACUGAUUCCUCCCUUCUGAAGAACCAUCAUGCCAUUAAUUUGGUGUGGUGGGGAAUCAGGACUGUUACUUUGAAAAAAUUAGAGUGUUUAAAGCAGGCUCGCGCUUGAAUACAUUAGCAUGGAAUAAUGAAAUAGGACGUUUAUCCUAUUUUGUUGGUUUCUAGGAUUGACGUAAUGAUUAAUAGGGAUAGUUGGGGGCAUUAGUAUUCAAUUGUCAGAGGUGAAAUUCUUGGAUUUAUUGAAGACUAACUACUGCGAAAGCAUUUGCCAAGGAUGUUUUCAUUAAUCAAGAACGAAAGUUAGGGGAUCGAAGACGAUCGGAUACCGUCGUAGUCUUAACCAUAAACUAUGCCGACUAGGGAUCGGAUGAUGUUAAUUUUUUAAUGACUCAUUCGGCGCCUUACG